AUGGGCCGCCGCCCCGCCCGGUGUUACUGGGAUCGCAAGAACAAGCCAUACCCAAAAUCUCACUUCUGACGAGGUGUUCCUGAUGCCAAGAUUCGCACCUUUGACCUGGGACGGAAGAAGGCAAAAGUAGAUGAGUUCCCACUCUGUGGCCACAUGGUGUCAGAUGAAUAUGAACAGCUGUCCUCCGAAGCCUUGGAGGCUGCCCAUAUUUGUGCCAACAAGUACCUGGUAAAGAGCUGUGGCAAAGAUGGUUUUCAUAUCCGAGUGAGGCUCCACCCCUUCCAUGUCAUUCCUUCCAUGUCAGGAAUGAGAGGUGCCUUUGGGAAGCCCCAGGGCACCAUGGCCAGGGUGCACAUUGGCCAAGUCAUCAUGUCAAUCCGCACCAAGCUGCAGAACAAGGAGCAUGUGAUUGAGGCUCUAUGCAGGGCCAAGUUCAAGUUCCCUGGCCGCCAGAAGAUCCAUAUCUCAAAAAAGUGGGGCUUUACCAAGUUUAACGCAAAUGAAUUUGAAGACAUGGUGGCUGAGAAGUAGCUCAUCCCAGAUGGCUGUGGGGUCAAAUACAUCCCCAAUCGCGGCCCCUGGACAAGUGGCGGGUCCUGCACUCAUGA
Molecule: RNA transcript, 608 nt
Organism: Carlito syrichta (Philippine tarsier)
Lineage: Eukaryota; Metazoa; Chordata; Mammalia; Primates; Tarsiidae
Gene name: 60S ribosomal protein L10-like
Exons: 1
Source: RefSeq, a predicted model, not a curated record